GAUGAACGCUGGCGGUAUGCUUAACACAUGCAAGUCGAACGGUCUCUUCGGAGAUAGUGGCGGACGGGUGAGUAACGCGUAAGAAUCUACCUAUAGGUUCGGGACAACAGUUAGAAAUGACUGCUAAUACCGGAUGUGCCUUCGGGUGAAAGUUUUAAUGCCUAUAGAUGAGCUUGCGUCCGAUUAGCUAGAUGGAGUGGUAACGGCACACCAUGGCGACGAUCGGUAGCUGGUCUGAGAGGAUGACCAGUCACACUGGAACUGAGACACGGUCCAGACUCCUACGGGAGGCAGCAGUGGGGAAUUUUCCGCAAUGGGCGAAAGCNUGACGGAGCAAUACCGCGUGAGGGACGAAGGUCUGUGGAUUGUAAACCUCUUUUGUUAGGGAAGAUAAUGACGGUACCUAACGAAUAAGCAUCGGCUAACUCCGUGCCAGCAGCCGCGGUAAGACGGAGGAUGCAAGCGUUAUCCGGAAUUAUUGGGCGUAAAGCGUACGUAGGCUGUUAGAUAAGUCUGUUGUCAAAGCGCGAGGCUCAACCUUGUAAAGGCAAUGGAAACUGUUUGACUAGAGAGAGAUAGGGGCAGGAGGAAUUCCAGGUGUAGCGGUGAAAUGCGUAGAUAUCUGGAAGAACACCAGUGGCGAAAGCGU
This 649-nucleotide ribosomal RNA is filed under the name uncultured cyanobacterium. RNAcentral describes it as "bacterial SSU rRNA". It matches the Rfam family "Bacterial small subunit ribosomal RNA", at positions 28 to 724 of the family's 1533-position model. Lineage: Bacteria; Bacillati; Cyanobacteriota. The record is from RNAcentral.